RNAcentral lists this small RNA (1014 nucleotides) under uncultured Myxococcales bacterium. RNAcentral's name for it is "bacterial SSU rRNA". The stretch from base 1 to 469 matches the Rfam family "Bacterial small subunit ribosomal RNA", at positions 1064 to 1533 of the family's 1533-position model. Lineage: Bacteria; Pseudomonadati; Myxococcota; Myxococcia; Myxococcales. The record is from RNAcentral.
GUCGUGAGAUGUUGGGUUAAGUCCCGCAACGAGCGCAACCCCUGUCGUUAGUUGCCAACAUGAAAGAUGGGCACUCUAACGAGACUGCCGACGUUAAGUCGGAGGAAGGUGGGGAUGACGUCAAGUCCUCAUGGCCCUUAUGCCCAGGGCUACACACGUGCUACAAUGGCCGGUACAAAGGGUUGCUAACUCGCGAGAGCAUGCCAAUCUCAAAAAACCGGUCUCAGUUCGGAUAGAAGUCUGCAACUCGACUUCUUGAAGUCGGAAUCGCUAGUAAUCCCGGAUCAGCACGCCGGGGUGAAUACGUUCCCGGGCCUUGUACACACCGCCCGUCACACCAUGGGAGUCAGUUGCUCCAGAAGUGGCUUGCCCAACCGUAAGGAGGGCGGUCCCCAAGGAGUGGCUGGUAACUGGGGUGAAGUCGUAACAAGGUAGCCGUAGGGGAACCUGCGGCUGGAUCACCUCCUUUCUGGAUAUUCGAUGGCCUCGUGUCAUCGACAAUCUGGUCGAUCUCACCUUCUCUUUCUUCGCGAUUUGGUUUUGAGAGGCUGACUCUCUUUGGUUUUGGCUCUUUCCAAAUCAGCAUCCCCGCCCCGUAGUGAACAUCCAGGGGCCUGGCUCGGGGGAUUAGCUCAGCUGGGAGAGCGCGGGCUUUGCAAGCCUGAGGUCGAGGGUUCGAUCCCCUUAUCCUCCACAGACUUUUGAACGUUGACGAACUCUGAAAACUGAAUAGCAGGACGAAGCGCGAAUCAAACGUAACAAAACCGCUUGCGUGCCCUCAAGUCACGCAGGCGGGGCAGACGUGCGAUUCGUUGAGUCCAAGACGAGAAGUCGAGUUCUCGAAAAGCGAACCUUGGCCUUGACCCCACAGGGGACGGAAUACUGUCCUCAGCAAGUUGGUGGUCAAGCUACUAAGGGCACUCGGUGGAUGCCUUGGCGACAGGAGGCGAUGAAGGACGUGGUUAGCUGCGAUAAGCUACGUGGAGCCGCAAGCAGGCGUCGAUACGUAGAUGU